RNAcentral lists this long non-coding RNA (487 nucleotides) under Cucumis sativus (cucumber). Its description in RNAcentral is "long non-coding RNA (CSAT_LNC000224)". Lineage: Eukaryota; Viridiplantae; Streptophyta; Magnoliopsida; Cucurbitales; Cucurbitaceae. The record is from RNAcentral.
AAGUGUUGUACAAAGACAAACAGCUGCUUCCAAUUCAGCCAACCCUGAUAUUAUAGGGCAACAUGCAUUCGCUGCAGGGUCCCCUAUUCCAAUGUGCACCAACCCUCCCAAUAGAUUCACACACCCUCCCAACUUCAACGUGUCAAUCGGACAAGUCUCUUUCCCCGAGGGUGGGCACGGUGUGUUUACCCCUGGCGACGGUUUUCCAAGAAUCGGAGGGACUGGGAGUACUGGUGGAAUGGGAACAGAUGGGAUAGGAACCACCGGAGGAAUGGGGACCGAGGGGAUUGGAACCACCGGAGGAAUGGGGACCGAGGGGAUUGGAACCACAGGAGGAAUGGGGACGGAAGGGAUUGGAACCACGGGAGGGAUCUUGAUGGGGAUGGGGGGAAGGGUGAUGGGGCCUUUGGGGGACUUUGAACCGGAACCGGGCUUGGUUUUUCUAGGGGGUUUGCCGCUGCAUGAACCGCAGCCGAGGAUGGGAGAG